Molecule: Y RNA, 103 nt
Filed under: Microcebus murinus (gray mouse lemur)
Lineage: Eukaryota; Metazoa; Chordata; Mammalia; Primates; Cheirogaleidae
Description: Y RNA (ENSMICG00000044207.1)
Rfam family: Y RNA
About the family: Y RNAs are components of the Ro ribonucleoprotein particle (Ro RNP), in association with Ro60 and La proteins.
Source: Rfam by way of RNAcentral
GGCUGGUCCAAGUGCAGUGGUAUUUACAACUAAUUGAUCAAAAAUCAGUUACAGAUUCCUUUGUUCCUUCUCUACUCACACUGCUUCACUUGACUAGCCUAAA